UUCAGGCUCAUAUAAUAGGAGCUACCAUUGAGGCUCCAACUCCAGCUCCGGCUCCGGCACCAGCUCCAGCUUCACAAAUACCUUCAGAUUCAACUCCAGAAACUCCGGUAACUCCAACAACUCCAGAAACUCCAGCAACUCCGACAACUCCACCAGCUCCGGUGACUCCAACGCCUCCUGCAACUCCACCAGCUCCAGUGACUCCUGACCCAACGGAUGGCACCACUGAAGGAAGUCUUAAACCAGAAGAAUGUGCUCCUCGAUGUGAAGAUAGAUGCUCAAAAACACAUCACA
Medicago truncatula (barrel medic) is the source of this 294-nucleotide long non-coding RNA. RefSeq lists it as uncharacterized. The record is from RefSeq and is a predicted model, not a curated record. The transcript has 3 exons. Lineage: Eukaryota; Viridiplantae; Streptophyta; Magnoliopsida; Fabales; Fabaceae.